Molecule: transfer RNA, 120 nt
Filed under: Achromobacter spanius
Lineage: Bacteria; Pseudomonadati; Pseudomonadota; Betaproteobacteria; Burkholderiales; Alcaligenaceae
Also listed under: 1 other name
Description: tRNA-OTHER
Source: RNAcentral
UGCGCGGUGCCCGAGAUGGCCGAAAGGACUGGACGAAGGGCGAGGCCGCUAUAAACUUUUCAGUGGGGCGCGCCUCCGAUACUGGAUUGUCCCUGGGUUCGAAUCCCAGCCGCGCAACCA